UUUUUAGACGGAACUAGAGGGGAACCCAGCUUUAGAAGAUCGUUGUUUGGCAGUCCCUAUCUAACUGGUAGUUGCCUACAAUCUCAUUUAUAUCUGAGAUUGUCUAACAUUACAUGUACAGAUAGAAUGGUCUCUACGCAUGAUACGAUGUAGCUCUGCCCACAUAGAUUGAGGGAGAAUGAGGCAAUAUUCUGAACCUCAAUAUGUCAGUCACAUGAUACCAUCACCUUCAUCGGUGUUAUUUCUCAGCGUUGCGAAAUAUCAGAAAAACUUACAGGUCUGACGCAUGGUCUCUACUCAUGAUCAAAUAGUCCUUUAGGAAUGCAAAUUUAUUUGUUGCAUUUAUUUGCAUUCGUCCCACUUGUAUGUAAUAUGUGUCCUCGAGAUUGUUGGAUCAAUGAAGAGUUUCAAUCGGAGAAUCAUUACAAUCGAUUCUAAAAACAAAUUGUAGUGAUAAUGCGUGGUAGUCAAAAUAUACCUGUACAUUUAAGUUACUAACAGAUUACCUAACAAAAUGGUAUGCACUCUUUAAAAAUCUAUACAAGUUGUAAUUAAUUACUCGUACAAAAUCUUUCUAACAAAAGCACUCAAUAUGCAUAUAUCUUACCAUAUAUCAUGGUUCUUUUGUAAUUAAAAAUGAAAAAAAGAUAAUAAUUGUGUUAAUUUUUUUAACACUACUUCCUUGAAACACUCUUGCUACAGUUCAUAGAAAGAUUAACUUAUCUUCCUGUAGAUUCAGCAAUACACGGAUUUGUUUUUUUAAAAAAGUGAAAUUAAAACAAGAAAAACAAUAAAUUAACUAUUGUCAUUGUUAUUGAAGCUUUCUUUUUAAAGUCC
RNAcentral lists this long non-coding RNA (837 nucleotides) under Physcomitrium patens. RNAcentral describes it as "long non-coding RNA (PPAT_LNC003257)". The record is from RNAcentral. Lineage: Eukaryota; Viridiplantae; Streptophyta; Bryopsida; Funariales; Funariaceae.